UCCGGCAAUUCUUUCAUGCUGUGGAUUCAAGAAGCGAAACAGACCGUGGUGAGCAUGCCCAGUACACAGGGCUUCGCUGGCCAGGAGCCAUCCUAAGAGGAGGUCUGCGGCUCACGGAGUAGAAAACCACCUUGGGCGAGAGAGCCUGAUACUCCAAGUGCCACAAAAGGAGAGGAAAGCUACGUUUGCAGGACACCUGAGAGUCAAGGUCACGGGCGCAGGCUUCAGAAUUCAGAAGCCCAAUUCCUAUCCAUGUGAGUCCAUCUGCUUCCUCAACUGUAAGAGGAGAGUAAUAGCCCUACCUCACCGCAGUGUUUUGAGAAUUAACUGAGUCAACACAUGGAAGGGCUUUGCACAGUACCUGGCACCUCGUAAGUGCUCAAAGAGCUAGCAACUGGGAGUAUAC
Molecule: long non-coding RNA, 406 nt
Filed under: Dasypus novemcinctus (nine-banded armadillo)
Lineage: Eukaryota; Metazoa; Chordata; Mammalia; Cingulata; Dasypodidae
Description: lncRNA (ENSDNOG00000052375.1)
Source: RNAcentral